ACUCCUACGGGAGGCAGCAGUGGGGAAUAUUGGACAAUGGGCGAAAGCCUGAUCCAGCCAUGCCGCGUGUGUGAAGAAGGCCUUAGGGUUGUAAAGCACUUUAAGCAGGAAAGAAAGCGCCGAGUUAAUAGCUCGAGCGUGUUGACGGUACCUGCAGAAUAAGCACCGGCUAACUCCGUGCCAGCAGCCGCGGUAAUACGGAGGGUGCAAGCGUUAAUCGGAAUUACUGGGCGUAAAGCGAGUGCAGGCGGUUGCGUAUGUCGGAUGUGAAAG
Molecule: ribosomal RNA, 273 nt
Filed under: uncultured bacterium
Lineage: Bacteria
Description: partial 16S ribosomal RNA
Rfam family: Bacterial small subunit ribosomal RNA
Source: RNAcentral